RNAcentral lists this ribosomal RNA (1435 nucleotides) under uncultured organism. RNAcentral describes it as "16S ribosomal RNA". It matches the Rfam family "Bacterial small subunit ribosomal RNA". The record is from RNAcentral.
CAGGCUUAACACAUGCAAGUCGAGGGGCAUCAGGAAGAAAGCUUGCUUUCUUUGCUGGCGACCGGCGCACGGGUGAGUAACACGUAUCCAACCUGCCCUUUACUCGGGGAUAGCCUUUCGAAAGAAAGAUUAAUACCCGAUAGUAUAAUGAUUCCGCAUGGUUUCAUUAUUAAAGGAUUCCGGUAAAGGAUGGGGAUGCGUUCCAUUAGGUUGUUGGUGAGGUAACGGCUCACCAAGCCUUCGAUGGAUAGGGGUUCUGAGAGGAAGGUCCCCCACAUUGGAACUGAGACACGGUCCAAACUCCUACGGGAGGCAGCAGUGAGGAAUAUUGGUCAAUGGGCGCUAGCCUGAACCAGCCAAGUAGCGUGAAGGAUGAAGGCUCUAUGGGUCGUAAACUUCUUUUAUAUAAGAAUAAAGUGCAGUAUGUAUACUGUUUUGUAUGUAUUAUAUGAAUAAGGAUCGGCUAACUCCGUGCCAGCAGCCGCGGUAAUACGGAGGAUCCGAGCGUUAUCCGGAUUUAUUGGGUUUAAAGGGAGCGUAGGUGGACUGGUAAGUCAGUUGUGAAAGUUUGCGGCUCAACCGUAAAAUUGCAGUUGAUACUGUCAGUCUUGAGUACAGUAGAGGUGGGCGGAAUUCGUGGUGUAGCGGUGAAAUGCUUAGAUAUCACGAAGAACUCCGAUUGCGAAGGCAGCUCACUGGACUGCAACUGACACUGAUGCUCGAAAGUGUGGGUAUCAAACAGGAUUAGAUACCCUGGUAGUCCACACAGUAAACGAUGAAUACUCGCUGUUUGCGAUAUACAGUAAGCGGCCAAGCGAAAGCAUUAAGUAUUCCACCUGGGGAGUACGCCGGCAACGGUGAAACUCAAAGGAAUUGACGGGGGCCCGCACAAGCGGAGGAACAUGUGGUUUAAUUCGAUGAUACGCGAGGAACCUUACCCGGGCUUAAAUUGCAGUGGAAUGAUGUGGAAACAUGUCAGUGAGCAAUCACCGCUGUGAAGGUGCUGCAUGGUUGUCGUCAGCUCGUGCCGUGAGGUGUCGGCUUAAGUGCCAUAACGAGCGCAACCCUUAUCUUUAGUUACUAACAGGUUAUGCUGAGGACUCUAGAGAGACUGCCGUCGUAAGAUGUGAGGAAGGUGGGGAUGACGUCAAAUCAGCACGGCCCUUACGUCCGGGGCUACACACGUGUUACAAUGGGGGGUACAGAAGGCAGCUAGCGGGUGACCGUAUGCUAAUCCCAAAAGCCUCUCUCAGUUCGGAUCGAAGUCUGCAACCCGACUUCGUGAAGCUGGAUUCGCUAGUAAUCGCGCAUCAGCCACGGCGCGGUGAAUACGUUCCCGGGCCUUGUACACACCGCCCGUCAAGCCAUGGGAGCCGGGGGUACCUGAAGUACGUAACCGCAAGGAUCGUCCUAGGGUAAAACUGGUGACUGGGGC